RNAcentral lists this transfer RNA (79 nucleotides) under Ackermannviridae sp. RNAcentral describes it as "tRNA-Ile". It matches the Rfam family "tRNA". Rfam says of the family: Transfer RNA (tRNA) molecules are approximately 80 nucleotides in length. Their secondary structure includes four short double-helical elements and three loops (D, anti-codon, and T loops). The record is from RNAcentral. Lineage: Duplodnaviria; Heunggongvirae; Uroviricota; Caudoviricetes; Pantevenvirales; Ackermannviridae.
UGUCGUAUAGCUCACAUUGGUGAGAGCACUUGCCUUAUAAGCGAGAGGUUCUGGGUUCGAUUCCCAGUACGACUAGGAA